GGGAAUCUGCCCUUUGGUCUGGGAUAACUGUUGGAAACGACAGCUAAUACCGGAUGAUGACGUAAGUCCAAAGAUUUAUCGCCAGAGGAUGAGCCCGCGUCGGAUUAGCUAGUUGGUGGGGUAAAGGCCUACCAAGGCGACGAUCCGUAGCUGGUCUGAGAGGAUGAUCAGCCACACUGGGACUGAGACACGGCCCAGACUCCUACGGGAGGCAGCAGUGGGGAAUAUUGGACAAUGGGCGAAAGCCUGAUCCAGCAAUGCCGCGUGAGUGAUGAAGGCCUUAGGGUUGUAAAGCUCUUUUACCCGGGAUGAUAAUGACAGUACCGGGAGAAUAAGCUCCGGCUAACUCCGUGCCAGCAGCCGCGGUAAUACGGAGGGAGCUAGCGUUGUUCGGAAUUACUGGGCGUAAAGCGCACGUAGGCGGCUUUGUAAGUUAGAGGUGAAAGCCUGGAGCUCAACUCCAGAACUGCCUUUGAUACUGCAUGGCUUGAAUCCAGGAGAGGUGAGUGGAAUUCCGAGU
Molecule: ribosomal RNA, 520 nt
Filed under: uncultured bacterium
Lineage: Bacteria
Description: bacterial SSU rRNA
Rfam family: Bacterial small subunit ribosomal RNA
Source: RNAcentral